GCCGGGUGUGGUGGUGCAUGCCUGUAAUCCCAGCUACUCAGGAGGCUGAGGCAGGAGAAUUGCUUGAACCCAGGAGGCAGAGGUUGCAGUGAGCUGAGAUUGUGCCACUGUACUCCAGCCUGGGCAACAGAGCGAGACUCAGUCUCAA
This is an unclassified non-coding RNA of Macaca mulatta (Rhesus monkey), 148 nucleotides long. It matches the Rfam family "Metazoan signal recognition particle RNA". From Rfam's summary of the family: The signal recognition particle (SRP) is a universally conserved ribonucleoprotein. NCBI's taxonomy places the organism in Eukaryota, Metazoa, Chordata, Mammalia, Primates, Cercopithecidae. The record is from Ensembl.